RNAcentral lists this ribosomal RNA (61 nucleotides) under Planococcus halotolerans. RNAcentral's name for it is "partial 16S ribosomal RNA". It matches the Rfam family "Bacterial small subunit ribosomal RNA", at positions 1 to 59 of the family's 1533-position model. Lineage: Bacteria; Bacillati; Bacillota; Bacilli; Caryophanales; Caryophanaceae. The record is from RNAcentral.
CUAUAAUGGAGAGUUUGAUCCUGGCUCAGGACGAACGCUGGCGGCGUGCCUAAUACAUGCA